Non-coding RNA from Podarcis lilfordi (Lilford's wall lizard), 74 nucleotides. The record is from the annotation of a GenBank genome assembly. NCBI's taxonomy places the organism in Eukaryota, Metazoa, Chordata, Lepidosauria, Squamata, Lacertidae.
AGGACCCAUUUCAAGUGGGUCGGGGCAUCUGGCUGUUAACCAGAAGGUUGGUGGUUCAAGCCCACCCAGGGAUG